This 274-nucleotide long non-coding RNA is filed under the name Lathyrus oleraceus (garden pea). RNAcentral's name for it is "Pisum sativum (pea) long non-coding RNA (PSAT_LNC018995)". The record is from RNAcentral. Lineage: Eukaryota; Viridiplantae; Streptophyta; Magnoliopsida; Fabales; Fabaceae.
GAGACUCUAUUCGAACUAACAUUUUCCGCGUCCAUCGUGAGGGAUUGCAUUUUUCGAGGUGCGACACUCCACAAAUAAACCAAUCGGAAAAUGGGGGUGCAAAAGCCACUCCGAAGUCAAUAUUUGGCAGUGGAGGAAACUUUGGGGGAAAUAGUUCAAGAGCCAUUUCAUAGUGUUUAUCUCGAGGAACAUAUGAGGGAAUAUUUAAAGUUUCCAUUUUCUUUGAAAACUUCUCUUUGAGCGUAACAGCUGCUUCGCGGAUUGUUCGACUAAG